GAUGAAUGCUGGCGGUGUGCCUUAAGCAUGCAAGUCGAACGGUAAAUUCCCUUCGGGGAAUACGAGUGGCAGACGGGUGAGUAAUACGUAGGAACUUACCCUAAAGUGGGGAAUAGCUCAUCGAAAGGUGGGGUAAUGCCGCAUAUGGUCGCAAGAUCAAAGUCGCAAGACGCUUUAGGAGAGGCCUGCGCCCUAUCAGGUAGUUGGUGAGGUAAUGGCUCACCAAGCCAAUGACGGGUAGCCGGUGUGAGAGCAUGACCGGCCACAAGGUAACUGAGACACGGUGCCUACACCUACGGGUGGCAGCAACUGGGAAUAUUGCGCAAUGCACGAAAGUGUGAACGAGCGACGCCGCGCGAGCGAUGAAGCCCUUCGGGGUGUAAAGCUCUUUUAUUAGGGAAAAACUUUGAUUGUACCUAGUGAAUAAGAGGUUGCUAACUCUGUGCCAGCAGCAGCGGUAAUACAGAGACCUCAAGCGUUAUCCGGAUUUAUUGGGCGUAAAGCGUCUGUAGGUUGGAUAAAUAGUCAGAUGUCAAAUUCUAGGGCUUAACCUUAGAACUGCAUUUGAAACGUUUAUUCUAGAGGAUAGUAGGGGCAAGUAGAACUUAUAGUGUAGCAGUAAAAUGCGUUGAUAUUAUAAGGAAUACCAAAAGCGAAGGCAUCUUGCUGGACUAUUCCUGACACUGAGAGACGAAAGCGUGGGUAGCGAAUGGGAUUAGAUACCCCAGUAGUCCACGCCGUAAACGAUGGAUAUUAGGCAUUAGGAGUGUCGACCCUUUUAGUGCCGAAGCUAACGCGUUAAAUAUCCCGCCUGGGAAGUACGGCCGCAAGGCUAAAACUCAAAGGAAUAGACGGGGACCUGCACAAGCGGUGGAACAUGUGGUUUAAUUCGACGAUAAACGAGGAACCUUACCCAGGCUAGAAGCCAUUCGAAUCCCGAUGAAAGUUGGGAGUGCCGCAAGGAGCGAAUGGACAGGUGCUGCAUGGUUGCCGUCAGCUCGUGCCGUGAGGUGUUCGGUUAAGUCCAGCAACGAGCGCAACCCUUGUCAAAUGUUGUAUUUUUCAUUUGAUACUGCCCGAGUUAAUUGGGAGGAAGGUGGGGACGACGUCAAAUCAGCAUGGCCCUAGACGCCUGGGGCUACACACAUGUUACAAUGGUGAUUACAAUGGGUUGCCAAGUCGAAAGACGGAGCUAAUCCCAUCAAAGGUCACCUCAGUUCGGAUUGAGGGCUGCAACUCGCCCUCAUGAAGCCGGAAUCGCUAGUAAUCGUGAAUCAGCUAUGUCACGGUGAAUACGUUCUCAGGUCUUGUACUCACCGCCCGUCACAUCAAGAGAGUCGGUAAUACCCGAAGC
RNAcentral lists this ribosomal RNA (1354 nucleotides) under uncultured bacterium. RNAcentral's name for it is "16S ribosomal RNA". It matches the Rfam family "Bacterial small subunit ribosomal RNA". The record is from RNAcentral.